RNAcentral lists this ribosomal RNA (600 nucleotides) under uncultured bacterium. RNAcentral's name for it is "bacterial SSU rRNA". It matches the Rfam family "Bacterial small subunit ribosomal RNA", at positions 732 to 1338 of the family's 1533-position model. The record is from RNAcentral.
CAGUUUUACUGACGCUCAUGCUCGAAAGUGCGGGUAUCGAACAGGAUUAGAUACCCUGGUAGUCCGCACGGUAAACGAUGGAUGCCCGCUGUUUGCUUUUGAAGUAAGCGGCCAAGCGAAAGCAUUAAGCAUCCCACCUGGGGAGUACGCCGGCAACGGUGAAACUCAAAGGAAUUGACGGGGGCCCGCACAAGCGGAGGAACAUGUGGUUUAAUUCGAUGAUACGCGAGGAACCUUACCCGGGCUUGAACUGCACAGGAAUGCGGGAGAGAUCCCAAAGCCCUUCGGGGCCUGUGUGGAGGUGCUGCAUGGUUGUCGUCAGCUCGUGCCGUGAGGUGUCGGCUUAAGUGCCAUAACGAGCGCAACCCUUCUCUUCAGUUGCCAUCACUUCGGGUGGGCACUCUGGAGACACUGCCACCGUAAGGUGUGAGGAAGGUGGGGAUGACGUCAAAUCAGCACGGCCCUUACGUCCGGGGCUACACACGUGUUACAAUGGCGCGUACAGAGGGCUGGCAUACGGUAACGUGUGUCUAAUCCUUAAAACGCGUCUCAGUUCGGACUGGGGUCUGCAACCCGACCCCACGAAGCUGGAUUCGCUAG